UAACAAGGUUUCCGUAGGUGAACCUGCGGAAGGAUCAUUGUCGGAACCUGCGUAGCAGAACGACCCGCGAACGCGUUCAUAAAACGAGGGGUCCAAAGCGGGCUUUUUGCCAGGCUCGGCCCCUCACAAGGCCUUGAUCGGGGGAUAAGGGUGCGUAGGCCUGGCCUUCCCUCGACGUUCCUCGGUCUUGGCCUGCUCAACAAAACCCCCGGCGCGGAAAGCGCCAAGGAAUUGCAAACAAAAUGACCGGCCGCCCCGGCUGCCCCGGAAACGGUGCGCAAAAGGGAUGCGAUCGUGAUUUGAGAAUCUAAACGACUCUCGGCAACGGAUAUCUCGGCUCUCGCAUCGAUGAAGAACGCAGCGAAAUGCGAUACUUGGUGUGAAUUGCAGGAUCCCGCGAACCAUCGAGUUUUUGAACGCAAGUUGCGCCCGAAGCCUUUUGGCCGAGGGCACGUCUGCCUGGGUGUCACUCAACCGUCGCCCCUCCCCUUCCUUCCGGAAGGGUGUAAAUCGGGCGGAAGAUGGCCUCCCGUUUGCACUUCGCACGCGGUUGGCCUAAAUGUCCGGUCCUCGGCAGCGUCGCCAUGGCUAUCGGUGGUUGUACGACCCUCGCUAAAUGCUGUGAGCGUUUCGGUGCCGGUGUGGCCUACGAUGCCCCAAAGCGAAUCGGAAGACGCGCUCGCAAUGCGACCCCAGGUCAGGNGGNAAUACCCGCUGAGUUUAAGCAUAUCA
This 732-nucleotide ribosomal RNA is filed under the name Euphorbia simulans. RNAcentral's name for it is "eukaryotic LSU rRNA". The stretch from base 314 to 469 matches the Rfam family "5.8S ribosomal RNA". The record is from RNAcentral. Lineage: Eukaryota; Viridiplantae; Streptophyta; Magnoliopsida; Malpighiales; Euphorbiaceae.